RNAcentral lists this ribosomal RNA (465 nucleotides) under Vreelandella stevensii. RNAcentral's name for it is "partial 16S ribosomal RNA". It matches the Rfam family "Bacterial small subunit ribosomal RNA", at positions 338 to 795 of the family's 1533-position model. Lineage: Bacteria; Pseudomonadati; Pseudomonadota; Gammaproteobacteria; Oceanospirillales; Halomonadaceae. The record is from RNAcentral.
CCUACGGGCGGCAGCAGUGGGGAAUAUUGGACAAUGGGGGGAACCCUGAUCCAGCCAUGCCGCGUGUGUGAAGAAGGCCCUCGGGUUGUAAAGCACUUUCAGUGAGGAAGAACGCCUGGUGGUUAAUACCCAUCAGGAAAGACAUCACUCACAGAAGAAGCACCGGCUAACUCCGUGCCAGCAGCCGCGGUAAUACGGAGGGUGCGAGCGUUAAUCGGAAUUACUGGGCGUAAAGCGCGCGUAGGUGGCUUGAUAAGCCGGUUGUGAAAGCCCCGGGCUCAACCUGGGAACGGCAUCCGGAACUGUCAAGCUAGAGUGCCGGAGAGGAAGGUAGAAUUCCCGGUGUAGCGGUGAAAUGCGUAGAGAUCGGGAGGAAUACCAGUGGCGAAGGCGGCCUUCUGGACUGACACUGACACUGAGGUGCGAAAGCGUGGGUAGCAAACAGGAUUAGAUACCCUAGUAGUC